RNAcentral lists this ribosomal RNA (207 nucleotides) under uncultured bacterium. RNAcentral's name for it is "partial 16S ribosomal RNA". It matches the Rfam family "Bacterial small subunit ribosomal RNA", at positions 568 to 774 of the family's 1533-position model. The record is from RNAcentral.
CGCGUAGGCGGUCGUGCACGUCGGGGGUGAAAUCCCCGGGCUCAACCCGGGAACUGCCUUCGAUACGGCGCGGCUAGAGUGCGGGAGGGGAGAGUGGAACUCCUGGUGGAGCGGUGAAAUGCGUAGAUAUCAGGAGGAACGCCGGUGGCGAAAGCGACUCUCUGGUCCGCAACUGACGCUGAGGCGCGAAAGCCAGGGGAGCAAACG